AUAAUCCUACGGGGCGCAGCAGUGGGGAAUAUUGGGCAAUGGGCGCAAGCCUGACCCAGCAACGCCGCGUGAAGGAAGAAGGCUUUCGGGUUGUAAACUUCUUUUAUCAGGGACGAAGCAAGUGACGGUACCUGAUGAAUAAGCCACGGCUAACUACGUGCCAGCAGCCGCGGUAAUACGUAGGUGGCAAGCGUUAUCCGGAUUUACUGGGUGUAAAGGGCGUGUAGGCGGGAGUGCAAGUCAGAUGUGAAAACU
Molecule: ribosomal RNA, 255 nt
Filed under: uncultured bacterium
Lineage: Bacteria
Description: partial 16S ribosomal RNA
Rfam family: Bacterial small subunit ribosomal RNA
Source: RNAcentral